UUAAGGCAAUUAGUUGCCUGAAACAGUUUUACUCACUUAUGGGACUCUGGUAAACAUGAUGCUGAAACGGUUGAUGAAAAGUAGCAAGUAAAUGAAACUUUCCCUCUGACUUGGACUUCCUGAUCAUAGAAGUCACACAGAUUAAACUUUCUGGUUAAAAGUCUGAGGAUUUGACUUACAUGACCUUAGCCCAAAUUUUUUGUUGAACAUUUUCUCUUAUAUUAGAUAAUCUCUGCCCAUUGAGUCUUUAUGUGGACUUUGGGCUUUAUUACAGGUACUGUUAGUAUCAGUGUUACUGACUGUGGUUAGGCCCUUGCUCUCUGCAAGCGAGCUCCUCUGUCAGCAGUGCAGGGGGAAGGGGUUCUACAAUCAUCCUCUGCCUCCUUCCCUGCUGGGACUCAGGUGGUGGUAUUAACCUGUCAUUUCUUCUAACAGAAGUUUUACAGUGGUAAGUGGAGAAGCUGGAGUAAUCUAAAGUAAAAAUACCAGCGCAGUGCCUUUCUUCAUGUGAAAACAUCUGUUAUAAUAGGGUUUAAAAUGCCAGCGAGGGAUGGCAGACAUUUUUAACGUGCAUGGGGCACUCUUACUAUACUAAAGAAAUAAAACCAACCUCUGUGAAGCUUGGGUUGUGGGGUUUUUGCUUGUUUGUUUUUUAACUGAUUUUUGAGCUACUGCACUCUAUUGCAGGGAAACUGCUGGAAACACAGUAUCUAGCCAAAUGGCUCUUAAGCAUCCCUAUUUCUAAAUACAGUCAUUAUUAUUUACCAAAAAUAUAAGCUUAUUGCUUUCAACUCAUUAGCUGUUUGUAGUCAUUUCAAAAACUCUAACUAAUUGAUAUUGCAAGCUGAUUAGAAUAUGGUGUGCUUCGCUGACUGUAAAUCCAACAUUUAACAGUACAUACUACAUUUCUGGAGAUCAUACUCUACUCAUGAUAGGUUUCACAGAAAUCACAAAACAAGAACUUGAAAAAUGGAAAUAAUUCCGGGUUUAUGUAGGCUUUCAUACGAAUUUUCAAAGUACAGUUCCAGAUGAACUUUCAGUUGCUUAAUAUUCCUGAAGUUCUGGUCAUACUUACCUGUUGUUUUCAAAAAAACUCACUAGGUAGGGUCUUCUCUGUUAUGGGCGCAUAAGCAGGACCUGACUUGCACCUGUGGUCUCAGAAACUUUGGUGCUUCAUUCUGGCAGCUAUAAUAGGCCUGUUAUUUUUGAGAACUAAAUUCUCAAGUGACUUACCCAAGGUCACACAGGAAGUCCAUAGCAAGACUGAGUCUCAAUCCAUUUUUAAUCCUUGGGACUACCCGUGCAUUUGACUUGAUGUAGAGCCUUAAAGAGAAAGAACAGAUUUAUCAUUCAGCAGUUACUAUUCCUUUCUGUAUAAGUAUUUAAGCUCUUUCAUAUUUAUUGUCUUGAAAUACUUGCACUUCCAGCAAACAAGUAGCAAGAUGCAAAACUCAGUUUUUCUCUUUAGUCAUUUUUAAAUGGUAUUAAGAUAGUAUCUUCACUGGUGAUGUUUCCUGUCUGCAUAGUUAAUGUUUAUGUAAUGAUGUGCCAGAGAAGUAGGAUUUUGUCUUUGGAUGUUUUUUGCAUUCCCAAAUUUUAAGUUCAGUAGUGUGUAGGCAGACAAAAGUAAAACACACCAGGAUGAAACUGGCUUAAGACCUAUACUGUUAACCUCAACAUCCCUCCUCCAGUGCAUGGGGUGUUUAGAAAACUGUUUUCUUAGAGCUUAGUACCUGGGCAGAGAUAAUUUAAUCAGAUAUUGGUGUUCUUGGGACAGUAAUGACUAAAGAAGAGUCUCAGAAUGUGGCUAGUAUUUCUGCUAUUUGAACACAAUUGCUAGGUAAUUAAAAAAGCAUAAGUCUUCCUUAAAACAAAAAAUCCCUGUCUGAAAUCUUUAAUAACUAAAAUUCAAAAAAACCGACAAAAAACCAAGCAGACCACGGAGAGCAGAGGGAUGGAUGUCGUGAGUGGGCAGGGGUGCAUGGGUGAGGAAAAGAGCAUGUGUGGGAAGGAGGGAGGGUGGAAUACAGGGAAGGGAGUAGUCUGCUUCUCACUGACGGUUCUGUGCUUUAUUUCUGACUCGCCUUGGUGGCCUUUCAGGGAUUGAAGAAACUGGUCCCCCGUCUGCUGCAUGAGGAGAUCACAGUGGGAAAUAGCUUUGACCUCAGUUGACUAGAGACAUCUGUCCACAGCAUGUGUAUAGGAGAAAGCAAUAUGAAAUUACAAAACAUCACAAAUGUUGCAUGAUUGAAAAAGGCCUGGGGAAAUCUAUUCCAUCUGAAAAAGUGCAAACUAAAGAACAGAAAAGUCAGACCUAAAUUACAGGGAUCAGGUUGCUUUUUGCUAAACUGGUAGAUUAGACCUAAAGAAGCAGGUUGGGUUUUUUAUUUGUUUUCUAACCUUCACCCUCCCACAAUGUAACAUAACUUUUCUUAAUGCCCAAAAACUUAGCGAGAUGAGUUGUCCCUUUUUUCUUAAAUACACUUGGUUUAAAACAGUUUUCCUCAAUGCUGUGAGGAAUUCCUGCCUUCUGUCCUUUCAGGUAUGCAUCAGAUUUUCCUUCUUCCUACCUUCUAAUCCAUUUUAUUCUUUCUCUUAACUUACUGUAUGAUACCUACUGUAAGUCAUGUGAAGUUCUAGACUGGAAAAGGAGGUGCUACUCAGAAUCUGUAACCUGUUUAGUCUUCUGUUUUAUUUAUGUCUUUCCAUAGCCUUUCGUUUUUGGGGUUGUUUUUUUUUCCCUAGUAUUCCUGGUACAGCUGCUUGGAAAAUUUAAGCAAAGUAGAACUAGUCAUAUACUACUGGAUUCAUUCUUGUGUUAUUGUUCACAGGAAGGACCUAGGUACAGUUGGCCCCACGAAGAGCAUGAGGUGGUGGAUAAGGACUUUGAAGCAGAUUUGGAGCUGUAAUGACUGGCUUCCUUCCCUACUGCUGUCCCUUCCCCUUCCUUGCAAAGCGUUUUCAUUUGAAAAACUAAGGUGUGGUCAUCAGGCAUAUCUGUUCUCAACUUCCAGUAAUUUUUUGCUCACUUCUGAGCUACAUCAUAAUUACAUAUGCAAAUGUAGUAUUUUUUUCCCUCUUACCUUGUACAUGUGGGAGAGAAAGAUAAGGUUGCAGAGUACCACCAGGGAUGGUGCUGUUGUUGAGGUCGAGGAGGUGCUGCAGAUGGCCACAGGAGGAGAGAAGUACUUGUCCUGCAGAACAAGACUCACGGGGGAUUUCAGAACUUCUGUGACUCCAAAGGCAACGAGAAAACACUGUUCUUGCCAACUUUAAACUUUAGAUAGGAACUGAUUGUUGGAUGACUUAUAACAACCUAUUUUGGUACAUUCUUGCUACUGGGCGCUGAGAGUGAAUUUGCAUUUACAAUAGGAAUUUGUUUUGUGGACGUACAUGUAUAUAUAUAUAGCUACAUCAAAUAAUUUAACCUAUUAGGUUGGCUUGGAUGCUCUGUAUAGUAACACAAGAAAAACUUCUGUAGUGUUGUAAUGAUACUAAAAUCACAGAGACUAAUUCUAUGGGAGGGACUAUUCUGACAACUUCUGCCCUUCAUGGGAAGGCUUACC
Molecule: long non-coding RNA, 3566 nt
Organism: Strigops habroptila (Kakapo)
Lineage: Eukaryota; Metazoa; Chordata; Aves; Psittaciformes; Psittacidae
Exons: 2
Source: RefSeq, a predicted model, not a curated record